UAUAAUAAAAUUGAAUAGUUUUCAACAUAACUGAGUAAAAGUAGUUAAUCAUGAUAUUUUUUAGUUUAGGGUUUGGCAACAUAUGUUGUAGUAUUGUAUGUAUUCUUAGGGUUAGAAUUUGGAAAGCGUAAAUGUUUUUUUUGAAAUAUUAACUUUUUAACUUUAUGUGUUAAUUUAUGUGUAUAGUAAACACUUUUUAAGUUUAAUUUGAUUUUGUGAAGUGUUUAGUUAGUUAAUUUAGUUUCGAGGUUAUAAUUAGGGUCUAAACGAUUAACAUGUAAGUCGUCUAGAAAGUCUUUUAUUUUAGUUUUCCGCUAAAAAUUUGAAGUCUUCUGGACGACUAACAUGUAAGUCGUCCAAGAAGUCUUCUGAAUCGAAAAUAUUUAACCAAAUUGGAUAUUUUGUCUCUCUAUAUAAAAAAUAAUUUACACAUUCUCUCUCCUCCUCUCAAAUGGCUGCAACAAAAAUGUAGUGUUC
This 477-nucleotide long non-coding RNA is filed under the name Brassica napus (rape). RNAcentral describes it as "long non-coding RNA (BNAP_LNC001569)". The record is from RNAcentral. Lineage: Eukaryota; Viridiplantae; Streptophyta; Magnoliopsida; Brassicales; Brassicaceae.